UCACACUCUCUAGAGGAGACCCAGAGUUUGUCUCCCGCUCAGGACGAAUGCUGGCGGCGUGCUUAACACAUGCAAGUCGAACGGUGAUGGGUGCUUGCACCUUGAUCAGUGGCGAACGGGUGAGUAACACGUGAGCAACCUGCCCCCGACUCUGGGAUAACCCCGGGAAACCGGAGCUAAUACUGGAUAUGAGACGUACAGGCAUCUGUCGCGUCUGGAAAGAAUUUCGGUUGGGGAUGGGCUCGCGGCCUAUCAGCUUGUUGGUGGGGUGAUGGCCUACCAAGGCGACGACGGGUAGCCGGCCUGAGAGGGCGACCGGCCACACUGGGACUGAGACACGGCCCAGACUCCUACGGGAGGCAGCAGUGGGGAAUAUUGCACAAUGGGCGCAAGCCUGAUGCAGCGACGCCGCGUGAGGGAUGACGGCCUUCGGGUUGUAAACCUCUUUCAGCAGGGAAGAAGCGCAAGUGACGGUACCUGCAGAAGAAGCGCCGGCUAACUACGUGCCAGCAGCCGCGGUAAUACGUAGGGCGCAAGCGUUGUCCGGAAUUAUUGGGCGUAAAGAGCUCGUAGGCGGUUUGUCGCGUCUGCUGUGAAAACGCGAGGCUCAACCUCGCGCCUGCAGUGGGUACGGGCAGACUAGAGUGCGGUAGAGGAGACUGGAAUUCCUGGUGUAGCGGUGGAAUGCGCAAAUUUCANGAGGGACACCGGUGGCGAAGGCGGGUCUCUGGGCCGUAACUGACGCUGAGGAGCGAAAGCAUGGGGAGCGAACAGGAUUAAAUACCCUGGUAGUCCAUGCCGUAACGUUGGGCACUAGGUGUGGGCUCAUUCACGAGCUCGUGCCGCACAAACCAUUAGUGCCCGCCUGGGGAUACGCCGCAGCUAAACUCAAGGAUUGACGGGGCC
RNAcentral lists this ribosomal RNA (906 nucleotides) under uncultured Actinomycetes bacterium. Its description in RNAcentral is "bacterial SSU rRNA". It matches the Rfam family "Bacterial small subunit ribosomal RNA", at positions 1 to 920 of the family's 1533-position model. Lineage: Bacteria; Bacillati; Actinomycetota; Actinomycetes. The record is from RNAcentral.